Molecule: non-coding RNA, 125 nt
Organism: Triticum aestivum (bread wheat)
Lineage: Eukaryota; Viridiplantae; Streptophyta; Magnoliopsida; Poales; Poaceae
Source: Rfam
AUUAUACUCCCUCCGUCCGAAAAUACUUGUCAGAGAAAUGGAUAGAAAUGGAUGUAACUAGAACUAAAAUACGUCUAGAUACAUCCAUUUUUCCAACAAGUAUUUCUGGACGGAGGGAGUAUAUG